Molecule: ribosomal RNA, 36 nt
Filed under: Agaricus bisporus (cultivated mushroom)
Lineage: Eukaryota; Fungi; Basidiomycota; Agaricomycetes; Agaricales; Agaricaceae
Description: partial 5.8S ribosomal RNA
Source: RNAcentral
AACUUUCAGCAACGGAUCUCUUGGCUCUCGCAUCGA